RNAcentral lists this ribosomal RNA (253 nucleotides) under uncultured bacterium. Its description in RNAcentral is "partial 16S ribosomal RNA". It matches the Rfam family "Bacterial small subunit ribosomal RNA", at positions 524 to 776 of the family's 1533-position model. The record is from RNAcentral.
UACGAAGGGUGCAAGCGUUACUCGGAAUUACUGGGCGUAAAGCGUGCGUAGGUGGUUUGUUAAGUCUGAUGUGAAAGCCCUGGGCUCAACCUGGGAACGGCAUUGGAAACUGGCUUACUAGAGUGCGGUAGAGGGGUGUGGAAUUCCCGGUGUAGCAGUGAAAUGCGUAGAUAUCAGGAGGAACACCAGCGGCGAAGGCGGCGCUCUGGGCCGGUACUGACACUGAGGAGCGAAAGCGUGGGUAGCAAACAGG